CUAGUGUACUACUGAAAGCUGAUUGAUUUGUUGUUAAACUGAAAGCUUAACUUUCUUGUCACAAAUCAUCCCUUGCAGUUGGCCAUGAAAUCUGACCAAUUGCUAGCUACUCACACGCGUACUUACAACGACUAGUUUCCAGUGAGGAAGCACUCACUACAGUUGCUUGGGUUUGGGAUAUGCAGGUCAGGCUCGUGGGGUUGGUGAGUGACAAGGCGGGGAGGAACACGGAUCUGUCUCCCGCAUCGACUUCAUCAGACGGGAUGAUUUUUCGUGAUGAUGGGGAUCCAUUCUUCUUCCAUGUUGACGCCUCCGGUCCUGCCACGAUUCGUCUUGUCGUCCUCCCCGGCAUUCGCAUAGGUCAGGCUCGUGGGGUUGGUGAGUGACAAGGCGGGGAGGAACACGGAUCUGUCUCCCGCAUCGACUUCAUCAGACGGUGAGUUAAUUU
Triticum aestivum (bread wheat) is the source of this 448-nucleotide long non-coding RNA. RefSeq lists it as uncharacterized. The transcript has 3 exons. The record is from RefSeq and is a predicted model, not a curated record. Lineage: Eukaryota; Viridiplantae; Streptophyta; Magnoliopsida; Poales; Poaceae.